GUGUUGAUGUUCUAACGUCGACCCCUUAUCGGGGUUGCGGACAGUGCCUGGUGGGUAGUUUGACUGGGGCGGUCUCCUCCCAAAGAGUAACGGAGGAGCACGAAGGUGGGCUAAUCACGGUUGGACAUCGUGAGGUUAGUGCAAUGGCAUAAGCCCGCUUGACUGCGAGAAUGACAAUUCGAGCAGGUGCGAAAGCAGGUCAUAGUGAUCCGGUGGUUCUGAAUGGAAGGGCCAUCGCUCAACGGAUAAAAGGUACUCCGGGGAUAACAGGCUGAUACCGCCCAAGAGUUCAUAUCGACGGCGGUGUUUGGCACCUCGAUGUCGGCUCAUCACAUCCUGGGGCUGAAGUCGGUCCCAAGGGUAUGGCUGUUCGCCAUUUAAAGUGGUACGCGAGCUGGGUUUAGAACGUCGUGAGACAGUUCGGUCCCUAUCUGCCGUGGGCGUUGGAAGAUUGAAGGGGGCUGCUCCUAGUACGAGAGGACCGGAGUGGACGAACCUCUGGUGUUCGGGUUGUGUCGCCAGACGCAUUGCCCGGUAGCUAAGUUCGGAAUCGAUAACCGCUGAAAGCAUCUAAGCGGGAAGCGAGCCCUGAGAUGAGUCUUCCCUGAUACUUUAAGUAUCCUAAAGGGUUGUCGGAGACUACGACGUUGAUAGGUCAGGUGUGUAAGUGCUGUGAGGCAUUGAGCUAACUGAUACUAAUUGCCCGUGAGGCUUAACCAU
RNAcentral lists this ribosomal RNA (720 nucleotides) under Vibrio parahaemolyticus. RNAcentral describes it as "partial 23S ribosomal RNA". It matches the Rfam family "Bacterial large subunit ribosomal RNA", at positions 2211 to 2925 of the family's 2925-position model. The record is from RNAcentral. Lineage: Bacteria; Pseudomonadati; Pseudomonadota; Gammaproteobacteria; Vibrionales; Vibrionaceae.